CCCUCCUUGGGUGCUUCCUCUUCAUGGGAUUGCCUCAGUAAAGUUCAGGAAAUAUUUACUGACCAUCUUAUGUACGCAAACCUUGGUUUGGGCACUGUGGAACUCCUGGAGACAUAUCAUACAGUACCUGCUCAUGGGAAUUUGUAAACCUCAUCGGGAAGAAGAUGCAAGAAGCUCUUAGGAUUAGAUGGUCUUGCACUGUGAUUCAUAUGCCAAGAUUAGUGUUAGCACUAAUGCUACCACCUGGUAACUAACACCUGAUCUUCACAAUUGCCAUGUAAACCAAAGAAUCCCAUUUGACAGAAGUUGAAGCAUAAGCUAUAUCAACCAAAGCAAGAUACUUUCAGCUUGGAGCCAAUUCUUUCAUCACUGGGACAAUUAUUUCCAAGAUAUCAUUCAGCUCUGAUACUUGCUUUAAUAUAGUGAGCUCAGAGCAUCUUCAUCCAGUCUCCAAACUAUAUUGUGGCCAGCUGAGAAAAGACACUGAGCUUACAGUUUGAAGAUUGAAGACACAAGAUACAUAGACAAGCUUGCAUGCUUUGGUAAAGCAAGCUGCCAUGCUGCAGAGUCCUACACAAGGAACUAAGGAUGUCCUUCAACUAAUAGCCAGCAAGGAACUGAAGCCUUCAGUUCAAUACCAUGAAAGGAAUGGAAUCCCACCACCAGCCACAUAAGGGAGCAGAUCCUUCCUCAGUUCAGCCUUCAGAAGAGAAUGUAGCCCCUGGGCUCACAUGCAAUCUUUAUAAGAGAUACUGAAGCAGUUGAUCCAGCUCAGCUGUAUCUGGAAUCCUGAACCAUAAAGACCUAGAUAAUAAAUGUCUACUG
Mustela lutreola (European mink) is the source of this 825-nucleotide long non-coding RNA. RefSeq lists it as uncharacterized. The transcript has 4 exons. The record is from RefSeq and is a predicted model, not a curated record. Lineage: Eukaryota; Metazoa; Chordata; Mammalia; Carnivora; Mustelidae.